This 340-nucleotide long non-coding RNA is filed under the name Capra hircus (goat). RNAcentral describes it as "lncRNA (ENSCHIG00000007822.1)". Lineage: Eukaryota; Metazoa; Chordata; Mammalia; Artiodactyla; Bovidae. The record is from RNAcentral.
GUGACUUCAGUUUGUGUCUGACUCUUUCCGACCCUGUGGACUGUAGCCCUCCAGUCUCCUCUGUCCAUGAGAUUCUCCAGGCAAGAAUAAUGAAGUGGGUUGCCAUGCCCACCUCCAGGUUCACUGCUGAGCCAAAGCUAUUCUCCAUCUUGAAAAGAUCACAGAGUUUGUUUCAGUAUUCUGAGCCUUGAAACAAGGUUAUGAAAAGAGACUUAGAGCAGUAUACUAAAAGCGUCCCAGCAUGAGGAGACUGACGCGUCAAACUGGUAAGUGAAAGGGAUGCUUCAUGGGUGUCUGUUUUAUGCAUUAUUAAAUCUGUUGAUGCCAUUUCUCACACAAA